Molecule: ribosomal RNA, 253 nt
Filed under: uncultured bacterium
Lineage: Bacteria
Description: partial 16S ribosomal RNA
Rfam family: Bacterial small subunit ribosomal RNA
Source: RNAcentral
UACGGGGGGGGCAAGCGUUGUUCGGAAUUACUGGGCGUAAAGGGCUCGUAGGCGGCCAACUAAGUCGGAUGUGAAAUCCCCAGGCUCAACUUGGGAACUGCAUCCGAUACUGGAUGGCUUGAAUUCGGGAGAGGGAUGCAGAAUUCCAGGUGUAGCGGUGAAAUGCGUAGAGAUCGGGAGGAACACCUGUGGCGAAGGCGGCCCCCUGGGCCGGCCCUGACGCUCAUGCACGAAAGCGUGGGGAGCAAACAGG